Molecule: transfer RNA, 86 nt
Filed under: Candidatus Peregrinibacteria bacterium
Lineage: Bacteria; Candidatus Peregrinibacteriota
Description: tRNA-Leu
Rfam family: tRNA
About the family: Transfer RNA (tRNA) molecules are approximately 80 nucleotides in length. Their secondary structure includes four short double-helical elements and three loops (D, anti-codon, and T loops).
Source: RNAcentral
GCCCGGGUGGUGGAAUGGUAUACACGAGGGACUUAAAAUCCCUUUCCUUCACAGGAUUGCGAGUUCGAGUCUCGCCCCGGGCACCA